GAGAUUUCCCGGGCACUCUGUUUGGACCGCCUCCGUUUAAGGAGGAGGAAGGAGAGGGCGACGGUACGUCAGUAUGCCCCGAAUCUCCAGGGCUACACGCGGCAUACAGAGGCUGCUACAAUGGGUUGCCACGCCGAAAGGCGGAGCUAAUCCCCCAAAAACAGUCAAAGUCCGGAUUGAGGGCUGAAACUCGCCCUCAUGAAGCUGGAAUCCCUAGUAAUCUCUUGUCACUAUCGAGAGGUGAAUGUGUCCCCGCUCCUUGCACACACCGCCUGUCAAGUCACCCAAGCGAGGUUCUAGUGAGGCAGCGCCUACGGCGUUUUCGAACUAGUGCUUUGUGAGGGGGGCUAAGUCAUAACAAGGUAUCCGUAGGGGAACCUGCGGAUAGAUCACCUCGA
Molecule: ribosomal RNA, 398 nt
Filed under: Microcaldota archaeon
Lineage: Archaea; Nanobdellati; Microcaldota
Description: bacterial SSU rRNA
Rfam family: Archaeal small subunit ribosomal RNA
Source: RNAcentral